CCUACGGGGGGCAGCAGUGGGGAAUCUUGCGCAAUGGGCGGAAGCCUGACGCAGCGACGCCGCGUGCGGGACGAAGGCCUUCGGGUCGUAAACCGCUUUCAGCAGGGACGAGGCCCUCACGGUGUCGGUACCUGCAGAAGAAGCCCCGGCUAAAUACGUGCCAGAAGCCGCGGUAAUACGUAGGGGGCGAGUGUUAGCCGGAUUCAUUGGGCGUAAAGCGCGCGUAGGCGGACUGGUAGGUCGGGGGUAAAAUACCGGGGCUCAACCCACGUCCGCCCCCGACACCGGCAGGCUUGAGUCUGGUAGGGGAAGGCGGAAUUCCCGGUGUAGCGGUGGAAUGCGCAGAUAUUGGGAAGAACACCGGCGGCGAAGGCGGCCUUCUGGGCCACGACUGACGCUGAGGCGCGAAAGCUAGGGGAGCGAACAGGAUUAGAUACCCUUGUAGUC
This 447-nucleotide ribosomal RNA is filed under the name uncultured bacterium. RNAcentral's name for it is "partial 16S ribosomal RNA". It matches the Rfam family "Bacterial small subunit ribosomal RNA", at positions 338 to 795 of the family's 1533-position model. The record is from RNAcentral.